GAAUUAACAAAGAACAGAAGAGUAGCGUGUCAAUUUUUAAGCGAGUUGUGAAGAGUGUGAGCACAAUAAAUUAAACAUGGCGAACCACAUCUGCGAGUUGAGAGAUUGAACUAAUAGUAGGUCUUUCCGGUAAUCCCGUUAUCAUUGGAGUUAAUUAUUAACUUCCUGAGGUUGUGCAUGUGAGUGUAUGACGAACUGGGGUGGAAUCGCGAUUUUGUCGUCCUCUUA
This 228-nucleotide non-coding RNA is filed under the name Pediococcus claussenii. RNAcentral describes it as "T-box sequence". It matches the Rfam family "T-box leader". From Rfam's summary of the family: Uncharged tRNA acts as the effector for transcription antitermination of genes in the T-box leader family. T-boxes are found upstream of many aminoacyl-tRNA synthetase genes and some amino acid biosynthetic genes usually in Gram-positive bacteria. The anticodon of a specific tRNA base pairs to a specifier sequence within the T-box motif, and the NCCA acceptor tail of the tRNA base pairs to a conserved bulge in the T-box antiterminator hairpin. Lineage: Bacteria; Bacillati; Bacillota; Bacilli; Lactobacillales; Lactobacillaceae. The record is from RNAcentral.